GACUUUGUGGCCUAGUGGUUAGGGCAUCUGUCUUACAUAUGAAACGAUUGAACAAGUUUAUGCAUCACAGAAGAUCCCCGGUUCGAUCCCGGGCGGAGUCA
Xylaria curta is the source of this 101-nucleotide non-coding RNA. The record is from the annotation of a GenBank genome assembly. NCBI's taxonomy places the organism in Eukaryota, Fungi, Ascomycota, Sordariomycetes, Xylariales, Xylariaceae.